UACGUAGGGUGCGAGCGUUGUCCGGAAUUAUUGGGCGUAACGAGCUUGUAGGCGGUUUGUCGCGUCUGCUGUGAAAACCCGGGGCUCAACCCCGGACUUGCAGUGGGUACGGGCAGACUAGAGUGUGGUAGGGGAGACUGGAAUUCCUGGUGUAGCGGUGAAAUGCGCAGAUAUCAGGAGGAACACCGAUGGCGAAGGCAGGUCUCUGGGCCACUACUGACGCUGAGAAGCGAAAGCAUGGGGAGCGAACAGG
Molecule: ribosomal RNA, 253 nt
Filed under: uncultured bacterium
Lineage: Bacteria
Description: partial 16S ribosomal RNA
Rfam family: Bacterial small subunit ribosomal RNA
Source: RNAcentral